Molecule: small RNA, 17 nt
Filed under: Arabidopsis thaliana (thale cress)
Lineage: Eukaryota; Viridiplantae; Streptophyta; Magnoliopsida; Brassicales; Brassicaceae
Description: ATSL178620
Source: RNAcentral
UUUUAUCAUCAUCACCA